GUCGCGCUAACGGGCCGGCGUCGCCGCUAGGGGACGCUCGGGCAGCAGGGUGGUCGCUGGGUCGUGAGCUGGCGCCGAGGACGCCGAGCGACUGCUGGGCUUCCGUCAGCGUCCUGCUAUCCGGCUGCCCGCCGCGCUCCCUGGUAGUGUCCGUGGAUGCGCAGGCCUUGAAAAACCUCCUCGCGGCGGGCCCCCGAGGUAACUGCUGAGGCAGAUAAUGGCGCCUGGACUGCGGUGGCGCUUGCCCUGCCGCCUGGCGGCUUUCUGCAGGGCCAGGGUAUACUUUUUUUUCUGUAAACCAACUCUUCCUUAGCGCAGGAGAGGUGUCAAAGCGCCGGCGCGUCUCCAGAGCCCCGGGAGGAAGGCUGCAACGGCAGCCCCAUCGUAGACAGGGACAUUCGCAUCCCGAGCCCUGGAUCUCUGAAAAGCAGACCAGAAUUUGGAAGCUGGAAGGAACCUUAGAUCGUCCAUUCUGGGUGUCUCUCUUCGCUGGCGUUUUCCCACGAGAGGAACCUACAAGUGUCAAGGAAAAAAGGACAGCUAACCACAGAGCAGGCCACGGGCAAGAUAUCUCAGUGUUCUCCGCUCUCAGGUCAGGUCGUGAUCCCCAGGGGACCUGGAGGACUGAAUGAUGCUGCCCCCGAGGAGACUGCUGUCUUGUCUUAGGAGGGAGAGCAGGUGAAGUCCCCAUGGGAGGAAGCACCUAGCCCCAUUCCUGCUGAGCAAGAAGAGGUGGCAGGGACCCCAGACUGGGAGGUAAGGACAGCCCGGGGCUUCAACUGGAAUGUCUCCAGCAUGGGUCCGACUGAGCAGCCACGGAGCACUGCAGAGUGGGAGGCAGCGGGGCAGGGAGGCAGUACUGGAGGCUGGCUCAACCUUAAGACCAGCAGGCCAAGCUGCUGUCCCAGGGGAGUGAGGACAUCUGUGCAGAGCUGAGAGGCAGCAGCCAUGUGUGAACAGACUGCGCCUCAUCCUGGCCCCACCGACUUCUUGUAGACAGAGCCUGUUUCCCUGUCUGUGUAACACAGAACCUGCCUGAUCUCACUGCUGGGUUCCUCUUCCUCCUGCCAGGAAAAUAAAAAGGUUCAAAAGGAAAUUGCUGGGUAUCCA
RNAcentral lists this long non-coding RNA (1110 nucleotides) under Theropithecus gelada (gelada). RNAcentral's name for it is "lncRNA (ENSTGEG00000006616.1)". Lineage: Eukaryota; Metazoa; Chordata; Mammalia; Primates; Cercopithecidae. The record is from RNAcentral.